RNAcentral lists this ribosomal RNA (450 nucleotides) under uncultured bacterium. Its description in RNAcentral is "partial 16S ribosomal RNA". It matches the Rfam family "Bacterial small subunit ribosomal RNA", at positions 354 to 796 of the family's 1533-position model. The record is from RNAcentral.
GUGGGGAAUUUUGGACAAUGGGCGCAAGCCUGAUCCAGCAAUGCCGCGUGCAGGAAGAAGGCCUUCGGGUUGUAAACUGCUUUUGUACGGAACGAAAAGGCUCUGGUUAAUACCUGGGGCACAUGACGGUACCGUAAGAAUAAGCACCGGCUAACUACGUGCCAGCAGCCGCGGUAAUACGUAGGGUGCAAGCGUUAAUCGGAAUUACUGGGCGUAAAGCGUGCGCAGGCGGUGCUGUAAGACAGGCGUGAAAUCCCCGGGCUCAACCUGGGAAUUGCGCUUGUGACUGCAGUGCUGGAGUACGGCAGAGGGGGAUGGAAUUCCGCGUGUAGCAGUGAAAUGCGUAGAUAUGCGGAGGAACACCGAUGGCGAAGGCAGUCCCCUGGGCCUGUACUGACGCUCAUGCACGAAAGCGUGGGGAGCAAACAGGAUUAGAUACCCGUGUAGUCC